UCCAUCGAGCUCCACCCACCUCGAUUUCAGAAGCUGCUCAACCGGACGCAACCAUGCACCCAAGAAGAGCGAGCGCUCCAUCCUGGAGCUCGAGCAUAGCCUCUUCUCGCAAUAGCCAGUGCCUCCAUUUGAAGCGCGCCCGACCUCGACCACGAACGACCGGAGCCUCUGGAUACACCCUGCACCCCACGCCCUCCUCUCGCAGCUCCCUCUCUCCUGAUCUACUCUCUCGCGUGCAGCCAAGCAGCUCGCCGGAGCACCGACCCUGCAGCAGCUUUCGUCCCUGCCACCGAGCAACUAGGAACAAUAGCUCCUUGAAGGAACUCCAUGGCGCCACCAGCCCUCGAGCUCGUCGCCUCCUUUGCCUCAUGCCGCCCGGAUCCGUAGCUUGUGCCGCCAGGAUCCGCAGCCUCGUGCCGCCCCGACCUUUCCGACCGUCGCCCUCAUCCCACCGACGACGAGCCCCAUUGGUACCAGACGCCAAGCCGCGACACGUCCCAACAACCGCAUCCCUAACCAUGGCACAAAGCUACACUGUUUUGUUUUUCAGUUUCGUUAGAUUCACGCCAUGGUAUGGUCCAUCUAGCCCAAAUCCCAUGAUUUGUCAUAAGUUCGUUGUUAACCGAGCUAGUAAUUCCCACGUGUAGCAAUCCGAGGGGCUGGGGUUUGAAUCCAAGGUGCCCCAAUUUUGUUUUGCCUAUUUUGUUGUUGUUCUACAAGUCAACACCGGCCGCUCUUGAGUUA
Molecule: long non-coding RNA, 744 nt
Organism: Hordeum vulgare subsp. vulgare (domesticated barley)
Lineage: Eukaryota; Viridiplantae; Streptophyta; Magnoliopsida; Poales; Poaceae
Exons: 2
Source: RefSeq, a predicted model, not a curated record